This 433-nucleotide ribosomal RNA is filed under the name uncultured bacterium. RNAcentral describes it as "partial 16S ribosomal RNA". It matches the Rfam family "Bacterial small subunit ribosomal RNA", at positions 29 to 507 of the family's 1533-position model. The record is from RNAcentral.
AACGAACGCUGGCGGCAUGCCUAACACAUGCAAGUCGAACGAGACCUUCGGGUCUAGUGGCGCACGGGUGCGUAACGCGUGGGAACCUGCCCUUAGGUUCGGAAUAACUCCCCGAAAGGGGUGCUAAUACCGGAUAAUGUCUUCGGACCAAAGAUUUAUCGCCUUUGGAUGGGCACGCGUUGGAUUAGCUAGUUGGUAGGGUAAAAGCCUAACAAGGCGACGAUCCAUAGCUGGUCUGAGAGGAUGAGCAGCCACACUGGGACUGAGACACGGCCCAGACUCCUACGGGAUGCAGCAGUGGGGAAUAUUGGACAAUGGGCGAAAGCCUGAUCCAGCAAUGCCGCGUAAGUGAUGAAGGCCUUAAAGUUGUAAAGCUCUUUUACCCGGGAUGAUAAUGACAGUACCGGGAGAAUAAGCUCCGGCUAACUCCGUG